Molecule: ribosomal RNA, 838 nt
Filed under: uncultured bacterium
Lineage: Bacteria
Description: bacterial SSU rRNA
Rfam family: Bacterial small subunit ribosomal RNA
Source: RNAcentral
UACGAGGGAUGCAAGCGUUAUCCGGAAUUAUUGGGCGUAAAGCGUUUGUAGGCGGGCGAGUGUGCUUAAUGUUAAAUCUUAAAGCUCAACUUUGAAAUUGCGUUAAAAACUGCUUGUCUUGAGUAUGGUAGGGGUAAAGGGAAUUCCCAGUGUAGCGGUGAAAUGCGUAGAUAUUGGGAAGAACACUAAACAGCGAAGGCACUUUACUAGGCUAAUACUGACGCUGAGAAACGAAAGGUAAGGUAGCGAAACGGAUUAGAUACCCGUGUAGUCUUACCCGUAAACUAUGGACACUAAACGGUAAAUUUUUAAUUUACUGUUAAAGCUAACGCGUUAAGUGUCCCGCCUGGGGAGUAUGCUUGCAAAAGUGAAACUCAAAGGAAUUGACGGGGGCCCGCACAAGCGGUGGAGCAUGUGGUUUAAUUCGACGGUACACGAAGAACCUUACCAGGAUUUGACAUGCUAGAUAGUUGCUUGAAAGAGUAACGUGCCGUAAGGAAUCUAGACACAGGUGGUGCAUGGCUGUCGUCAGUUCGUGUUGUGAAAUGUUGGGUUAAGUCCCGCAACGAACGCAACCCUUGUCUUUAGUUAUUUUCUAAAGAGACUGCCUGUAAUAAACAGGAGGAAGGUAAGGAUGAGGUCAAGUCAUCAUGCCCCUUAUGUCCUGGGCUACACACGUGCUACAAUGGGAAAGACAAUGAGCUGCAAAUCUGUAAAUUUAAGCAAAUCUCUUAAACUUUCUCGUAGUUCGGAUUGUGGGCUGCAACUCGCCCACAUGAAGUUGGAAUCGCUAGUAAUCGCCAGUCAGCUAUAUGGCGGUGAAUCCGUUCCCGGGCCU